This 69-nucleotide transfer RNA is filed under the name Marmota monax (woodchuck). Its description in RNAcentral is "tRNA.Thr". The record is from RNAcentral. Lineage: Eukaryota; Metazoa; Chordata; Mammalia; Rodentia; Sciuridae.
GUUUGUGGGUCAGUGGUAGAGCGCUUGCCUCGUACACAUGAAGCACUGGGUUCCAUUCUCAGCACCACA